CCGAAACCGCUAACACUGAACCUUAUAAAACCCAACCACCCUCAUCAUCUCUUUCCCUUUUUCGUUCGAUCAAAACCGCAACCGAACCGAAACAAAAGCGAACCCGAACUCGGUCUUUUCCUCGUCGCCGGUCGCCGCUGACCACCACCUUCUCCGGCCACCACCUCCGACCGUCUCCGACCAUCCGGUAACAUUUUCCGACCGAACUUUCUUUUCCGAUCUUAGUUUUCGUUCUUUCCGGUUAUUAUGUACUGGUAAUUCUCUUGUGCACAUCCUCUUGGGAAAAUCUAUUAUUCUUAUCUUAUUCCAAGAAUACGCAACGCACUCUAAGGUGAGUAUACUUGACCCAUUUUCAUUUUACACGUUUGGGUGUAGUAUGCAUUUCCUUAUCAAAAACACAAUGAUAAACACUUUCAUUGCACAAUCUAUCCAUUUAAACAUGAACAUUUUCUUAUGCAAUGCACAAAAUAAUACAUUAUAUAUGAAUACUUUGAUACAUCUUGAUGCUUGUUAAUACUCAUAUUCCCAAAAAAAAAAAAAAUGGAAACUUAUCAUCAAGAUAGGGGUGAUUCCCAAACCUUGAUGAUUAGCUCCACUCACUUUCUAACUUCACCAACGAGCUAGAGGUGAUUCUCUUACCUCGGAGGUAGUUACCAACUUUUAUUCGUUCUCAAUGAAAUUUUAUGAUUGAACGUUCCUUUUCAAAAAUUUUAGAAUUUAUUCCACGUGCAUGCUAAUACGAUAUACUGGAUUCGUGUUACUUGGGUUAAACUUUAUGUGAUAAACUUGUCAUUAACUUCGUAAGAAGCCACACCUUAACAUACUCGAUGGGUUGACCUGUGUAUUCACAUGCCAGGGAUACGUUAAUCUUGUUAACUAAGUAUGGCAUGUGGAAUGUUCUAAAUUUUUAUGAAAUACGUUAAUCUUAGAUUUCGAGGACGAAAUCUCCUAAAGUAGGGGAGACUGUAACAUCCGCCAAUUUUAGAGCUGUAGGUUGUAACGCCCCUCCCGUAUAUACGGGUAUUGUUAGGUUUAAUCUAUUAACUCUAUUACCACCCUUUCGAGGGUUAGGCUAUGUUAAUUGCGUAACUAUGGUUUGGACAUGUGGAUUUCAUCGUUACGAGUAUGACAGUUAAUUGAAUAUCAGUUGUUCACAUGGAUUAGAUUUGAUAAACUAUUAACUCUAUUAUGCUAUAUCAAACCUGUAUACUCGCCAGCAAUUAUUUGUUGAUUGUAUUUUAAAUGCAUACUGCAGGUUGAGGAUCCAAGAAAAACAAGAAAAGACUAGGAUGGCUUAGAAACCCAUCAACUAUUUAAAUUUCCAACUCUAUGUUAUGUAUUUGAACUUUUCUAUGUAUUGUAUGAAACUUAUGAUUAUCAAUGAAAUAAACUUUAAUUAUUGUC
This 1404-nucleotide long non-coding RNA is filed under the name Helianthus annuus (common sunflower). Its description in RNAcentral is "hypothetical non coding rna". Lineage: Eukaryota; Viridiplantae; Streptophyta; Magnoliopsida; Asterales; Asteraceae. The record is from RNAcentral.